Long non-coding RNA from Oncorhynchus kisutch (coho salmon), 2061 nucleotides. RefSeq lists it as uncharacterized. The record is from RefSeq and is a predicted model, not a curated record. The transcript is spliced from 3 exons. Lineage: Eukaryota; Metazoa; Chordata; Actinopteri; Salmoniformes; Salmonidae.
ACUUGCACUCAGUGCGCACAGGGAGAAGCGCGAGCAACGACGACGUCCACACGUCAUCCAAAAACAUAGCAGACAUUGGAUGAAUUUAAAAUAUCUUCAGCUGUGAGUGAUGAAGAAAAACAAAUCGGCCUCGGGGACAAUUAUUUGAAUAGUUCAAUUGAUAUUUUACGCACAAAAGUGAUGACCAAAAUGUCUUAUUAGGAAUUUCCAAAUCUGCCUUCUCCAUGUGGCCUUGUAUGGAAAUUGUAUUUUUGGACCGGGCGUCAGAUAAACUGCAGUACCGAUGCAAAACUAUAGGACCGGAACCCUGGCCCCUUACCAUAGGAAUGCAAGACAGGGGAAAACAACAGCAAGCCCAAAAUUCUCCGCUGGAGUCCUGUUUUGCACCGGGGGGAGAGCUGUGAAGGCAUCUGUUAUGGGAUCUUCUAGCUUGGAUGGAAGAUUGGAGGAGGGAACAAAUGGGAGUACAGUAGUUAUCCAGCCUGCUGACUAAGAAAUUUCUUGAAACAUGUCAAUGACCUCUAUAGCAAGUACUUGGCCAAGUUACCAGUGACCUAUUCCGCCACAUCGCAGGGAAAGGAGAGAGCAGAACCACCCCUCCUUAAAUCCAGAGUCAUUGACUAAGUUUAGUGUGCAAAAGUUGUGUGUUUUUUUCUCCAUUUGAUCCUCUUAUCUUCAAUGUGUAUUGAAUCCUUCUAACCAGCUUUGUGAGAGCUAGGUUUGUACAGCUAUGCUGAUGAUCAUUAAUGUUUUUUCUCUGCAUCAGGUCUCACUGAGACUGGAUUCCUCAAGAUACAUGAUAUUCAGCUUCCCAUGAUUGCCUGAUCUUACACUCUUAGCCCCUUUCUUGCUAUCUAGAACCUAAAAAGCUUCAUCCGCUGUCCGCAUAGGAGAACCUUUUUUGGUUCCGGGUAGAACUAUGGGGACAGCCGAAGAACCAUUUCUUCUAAGAGUGUAGUGUAACUAGAUCCAAUUGAAACAGCACCACUUUAAAUAAUAUAUCCUCUUUCUUAAAAUGUUUGAGAUUGAUGACCAAUUAGUUAAUGUCCCACUGUAAUAUAAGGGACAGAGGCGCAAACAUGCCUUUGCUACCACUCGUGUGCUCCGUUGUAGUUGGUAAGGAAAUCUGAGCAGUUGAGACAUAGCCAAUGACAAUGACACAUUAAGUAGAUUCUGACCGUCAAAUAUAUGUUACUGUUCUGUCGUGUCCUGCAUGCCCACAUUAUGCCAACUGUUAAUUUAGUUUCUUCUCUUUUUAAUGUUUCCAGUAUCAACUAAGGUUGAUCAAAAAAGAGAAAUAUCACAGUCAAAGCAACUAGAACAUUUCUGUAACCGUGACAGAGUUUUGUUGUAGUUAAACAGGCUACUUGCAAUUUUAUUGUAGUAUUACAAAAUACAUGAAUUGAACUUCAGGCCAAUGAAAUGCAAAUGACAAAAUAGGGUAUUGAAACUAUUGAAAUACCUUCAUCAAAUACAUCCCAGUGGGCAAAACCUGGUUGAAAAGACAUCAGCAUGACUUCUUAUUCUGGUCACAAACUAGUUGAAAAAUGACUUUUUUAUUUUAUCUGCAACAUAACAACAUGUUGUUGUUGAUAAGGACACAUUGGUCUUCAAGGCAUUUUGUGUUUGUAACAAGAUACCUUUUGAUGCAUCUCUGCCCAUCUCUUGCUAGUGCAAAGUAUGUUACUGCACUAUUCACAGUAAUUUACCACCAGCUUGCUGUUACUGUAAUACCAGAGCAAAGAUACAGUACAAUACCGCAAAAUGUGCCUACUAUACUGUAAGAAAGUAAAUGCUACUGUAAUCCUAAUAUUGAUAUUUUACUUGAAUACAUGGGAUUGGUGCAAGCAGGUUGGCUGCUAGGUAUUUGUAUAUUACAGCAUAUUUAUAUCAAUUGUACUGCUACAGGCCUAAACAAAGGCUUCCAAACUGGCAAAACACACCAAAUGGCAAAAUACUCAACCAGUAAAGAUUUAAGACUUGCUGCCACAGUGAUCUGUCCCCUAUUCAAAUUAACCUGUUAAGGCACUACUAUCGCAUAUCAGUUCAAUUGGUACAGCA